AUACAUUUUUUUAAUUUUAUUUUUAAUUUGUUGAAAAAUAUUUAUUUUGAUGUUUUUAGUAUUUUUGAUGUAUUAUAUAUAUUUUAAAAUUAUAUAAAAAUAAUAUAAAAAUUAAUAUGGGUCGGUCGGGUCGGGCCCGGGUUUUAGUAUUUUUACUCGGGUCGGACUUGAGCAAAAAUUUAAGCCCAUUUUUUGGGUUGGUCCGGGCCCAGCAAACGGGCCUGAAUUUUUAGUUAAGCUUGGCUAGAACCCAGCCCGGCUUGGCCCAUGCACACCUCAAUAUAUAGUCUUACUUCUUAAUUUCAUUGAGUAAUUAGGAUAUAGGUUUAACACAUGUGCUUCGCCGUCGCUUGCUUGACCUGGUCCAUGUUAACACGAAUACCACGUGUAAGGCCCAAAUUUUACCCGGGCCCGAUAUAACAAAACCAAGUAACCAAAUAUAAGAGUCCAAUAGCCCAAAUUCAAUAACCAAAACCCAAUUUAUAAACCCUAAUAGCCCAAGCCCACUAUGUUAAAAAAAUUUUCAGCAGCCACCAAAGUUUUCAGCCGCAUGCCUUUAGCCACCAGCCUUCUCACGCGUGCCACCACCGCUCGGGGCGCCAAUCACCGGCCUUCCACGCGUCUGACACUCCCAUGACCUGCAAACAUUUGGAAAAGAGGAAAAAUGGCAGCAAGAAGCACAAGCAGUAGCAGAAAAUAAAACAACAAUAUUUUAAUAUAGGAAUCGGCUAUAAAGCCGAAAUGAAACUGAUUGUAACGGGGACGCACAUUUGAAUCAAAGAACAAAACAAAAUUUAAAGGUUGAUCUCUGAUUUAUUUUUUUUCUUUGUUUUUAUUUCGUUCUUUCAUCUCUUUAAAUUUCUUUUUAUUUAUACUACAAAUCUAAAAAACAAAAAGGGUAUAAAAUCAAAGAAGGGGACUUACCCGAAUCGAAGUGACCGUCGUCGGAGAUCGCUCCUCCGUCGUCGGAUUCGACCCGAAGAGGUCGUAGGGGGUUCCUUCUUUGGAUCUUCUUUGGUCGAGGAAGUUUUCGCUGUUGAGUUCGCCUUAAACAGGGGCUUGAAAGCCCGGUUUACACCCCAACCACCGCCUGUGGUGGCGCUGCGGUGAAGGCGGCGAUGAAGGUUCUAAGAAUCCUAGCCGAAAUGAGCAGGGAGAGGGAGAGAGGGUAAAGGCCCUCUGUUUUCUUUUUUCUUUUUUAAAAUAGAAGUUGAAAUGAAAAAGAAAAAAGAAUGGCUUAAAUGGCCACAGAAACGGCAGCAUUUUUUUUUAAGGCUAAAAUGGGAUAUUUUCGUUCACGGUCCCUCCUCUUUUCCUGCACCAUUUGAUUUAGUCCUUUUUGCAUUUUCUUUUUUUUUAAAUUUCGCCCACUUAUUUCAUUUCAUUUCCGUUUUAAUCCUCGGCCUGAGUGGUUGAAAUGCAGCGCAUUUGAGACUUGGGAUAGUGUCCCAUUUCGUCCCCAUAACUUUGAAUGCAUUUUGAUGUAGUCCAUGACACUUAUCUGUUAUUAUAAUUUGUACCUUUUCUUUCAUUUUGAUUUUAAUUUAAUCAUUUCCUCUUUAUUUCAAACUGUUUCAUUAUAUUUUAUUAUAUGCCCCAUUUGCGAUUUAUUUAGAUAUUAUUUUAUUUAGUUUCAAACUUUACACGGUAUUUGUAUAUUCGCCCUUUUUUAUAAAAAAAAAACUGUUUUAUAUUUAUUUAUUUUAAGUUUUUUUACAUAUUAAUUAUUUUAAUGCAUACAUAUAUUACAUAUUUUGUCUUCAUUUUUAUUAGACUAUUUGUUCUUUUUAUGUUCCAUUAUUGUGCAUAUUCAUUCUUAAAUCUUUCACAUGAUGUUUUAAACCUUUUUAUUGAUCUGUUUUGGGCCUUUUAUACUAUUUUGCCUUACAUUAAGAUCCUUAUUCAUAUUAGUUAUUAUAGAUUGCUACGUUUUACUCCAAAGUACCAUUUUUAUUUUAAAUCGUUUCAUGUACUAUUUAUUUAAAAUUAUUUCGUUAUCUUAAACCUUUUUAUUUAUUUAUUUUUAGCAUUCUAUGUAUUAUUUAUUAUAAGUUUUUGUAUUACCCAUUUUUAAACUUUAUGUACUCAUGUCUAUAUUAUUUGUUAUAAAAUUUAUGUAUAUAUUUUUUUGAAAAUUGUCUUAUGCAUUAUUGAUUUUAAAAAAAUUCACUUCUUUCUAUUAUUUAUUUUUAAGCUUAUUUGCUAUCUUUUUCAAAUGGUUCAUACGUUUUAUUUAUUUUGAUUGGUUCCAUACUUUUUAAAUUGUUAUAUAUGUCCUUAUUGAUUCUUCCUUAGCUAAUUCUAGCAUGUAAAAUAAUGUAUGUUGAAUCAUUAUCAUCAUUGUAUGUACCACAAUACGCUCGCUUAUAUUUUCACAUUAUCAUCGUAUAUUUACGCGGUGUUAGUCAUGUGUUAUCGCCUAUAUUUAUUAUUAUAUCGUAUUUCAUAUCAUUGCUUUACAAAUUAGACCCCAAUACAUUUACCUAAUAAACCGUUUUAUUUUAACCUAAAUAAAUAACACUUGUUGCUUAAAUAUUGCAUUCAUUACUAUUCAAAAACGAAAUUUUCCAAAUAAGGCAAUGCUAUUCAUUUUGGAACAUCGAGGAAUUGUGCACUAACUUACGAGGUUUUGAUUUUCUCAUUGUUUCUAAAUAGCAAAUAUCCUUUUUGAGUUUUAAAAUACAUGGAUUUCCAAUUAAGAUUAAAGACAACUUACGCUCGGGAGUUCAUGGUAUCGUGUCCUAACUUACGGGAUUUGACACUUUGAUAUCUCGAGACGUGGAAAUAUUUAGCAACCACUUUGAUUUAAUUCGAAUUUUUUAAAAUUAAUAUUAAUAAAAAAAUUGUAUUUCAAAUCCGUUCCCGUUUUAAUUUUAACUUUCAAAACCAAAGUCGAUCCCGUUUUCAAAAAAUGGUUACAACACUAUCUUGUACGUUAUAUUUUAUCAUGUUAAUGUGCUCUUUCAUGCAUCAGUUUUAAAAAUGAGACUUCAAGGAUUUCAAAAAAUAUAAAGGCAAUGUUUGGUGUUUGGAAAUUUUGAAAAAGUAGUGCCCUAACUUAUUGGGUUGCAACUUUUCUCGUUGAGUUCGAAUAGUCAAGUACCCUUCUAAGUUUUUAAGAUUUUCAAAAUACGAGCAACUAUCUUGGAAUUUCAAAGCGUUGUGUCCUAACUUAUUGGAUGCGACGAUUUUUCGUUUCGAGAUAAGGAUUUCCAAAAGGUUAACUUAGUGUCAAUGUUUUGAUACGAGUGAACCCAAAUUUUCGAAGUUAAAAUAUUUUAAAGAGGAUUAUAUCUUAAUUUUUUUUAAAUUCCGACAUUAAAGACAUUUGAUAAUCAAUUAGGUAUCAAUUUUUGGGCGUUACAAGGGUGCUAAUCCUUCCUCGUACGUAACCGACUCCCGAACCCGUUCUUUUAUUUCGUCGACCAAAACUAAUGAUUUUAAAACAAAAUGUUUUAAAGGUGAUCCAAUCACACCUAAAAAGAUUGGUGGCAACUCCCGGUUUCAUUUUUUUUAAAAUCGAUUCCCAUUUUCUAAAACUCGAUUUGAAAAUGGUUUCGUCAGCUUGGCGACUCCACUGGGGAUUAAUAAGAGAGUCAGACCAUGUAAUUGGUUAUCUCUUGUCUUAAUGUCGGAAAUUAAAAAUUUUAAAAUUUAAUCCCCUUUGCAUUACAUGUGUUUGUAUUAUUGCAUGCUAUAUUCUGAUCGCAUUGCAUUUGCAUGACCGUUGUGGUCACACCCUUAAGUGGGAGUGAGAAGCUACGCCUUCGUGAGGUUUUCGCCUCCGUGCAGGAUAGUGGAUCACUUUCGGGAUACAUCCGUACCUAUGGUUUCAUGAGAUUUUCAUCUCCGUGUAGCCAUAGGGAAAUGUAUUCCCCUGAACUGAACUCGAUUCAAAUGAGCCUAUAACGGGUGAGGAUCGAGGAAUCUGCUGGUUCGGGUACCUCAAACUUUAGAACCAACCCCAUGUCAAAGGACCGUAUAAGCCCAACUUAGACAUUACCCUUAUAAGUUAUCGUUGAAAUUUAUUGAUAUCAUGUGAUACUGACUAUCUCUUUUCUUUUGCUUGUAUGUCAUUUUGCAUUUACAAAGAUAUCGGUUCACGGUCAGUUUCUAAGUUAGGAAGUUUUAUUAUGGAGAACGGACUUCUUGAUAAAGUGGAAGGCAACGUUAACGUCCACAGAUGGUCCGAGCAAACUCAACUAGAAAAGGGAGAUAGUAUAGCUGAGGGAAAUCGGAGUUGUCAGAUUACACUCGUAUUAGCGUCACGCAGAAUAAUCUCCAGGAGCUUAAGGCAAUUUGGGAUCAGUGGGGCAAAGAGACUAAGCAAUUAUUCUACGGUAAUUAUGGAGACUUACCUUACUUGCUUGAUGAUCAGGUAGACGAGCACUUAUUCUGAGCCCUUGCUCAGUUUUGGAACCCGGCGUACAGUUGCUUCACUUUUGGGGAAGUAGACAUGGUACCUACUGUGGAAGAGUACACUGCUUUACUUCGUUGUCUCCGGUUUCAGAAUGACAGGAUCUAUUCCCGAGCUCCUUGUGUCCCUACCUUUUGGAAGAAAUUGAUGAUUAUUACGGGGAUGAGCGAGCAGUGGGACAUAGCCCGAAUUAAAGAAAAGGGUGAGUGCAAGUGCAUUUCGUGGGAUACUUUGAAAGAUUUGAUUCUGACAUACCCUGAUGAGACAAAGAAGGUAGAUGUUUUUGCCUUAAGUUUAUAUGGAUUGAUGGUUUUCCCUAGGGCUUUGGGAUAUGUGGAUGAGGCAACCACCGAUCUUUUUCAUCGACUCAGUAAAAAGGUCACUUCUGUCCCUGCAAUUUUGGUGGAAACAUUUAGGUCUUUAGGUGCAUAUAGGAGGGCUGGUGCUGGCAGGUUCAUAGGGUGUACUCAGUUGCUUUUGGCUUGGUUCUACAGUUAUUUCCGGUUGAUAGAUAGGGUGGUUUGUCGAGUUUUCUUUGAGGAUUACUCAUCGUUGAAAGAUAUAGUAGCUUCAACCAGGAGAGUUGAUGUUCUAGAAGAGAAUUGGACAGCGCUGCUUCAGAACCUUCAGUCGAAAGAUGUCGAGUGGAGGGCUCCGUGGAUGACGCCUGGUGAGGUUCUUUACCGAUGUGGUAGUUUUGAUUGGGUACCCCUAUUAGGAAUUUGGGGUGCCAUUGUCUAUGCCCCUUUGCUCGUACUGAGGCAGCAUGGAUUGAGACAGUUCAUACCAGCGACUCAGGGGUUGGCUCAAAGUGAGUUUGUAUAUAAAGGAGCCGAUUACAAGAGGAGGGUUAGUGAAGUCUCUAGUGCUUGGAAGAAGACUUGUCGAUUGAGAGGAGUAGCUAUUAGCCCCGCUACGACACCGGAAUACGUAAAAUGGAGAGGUAGAAGGGUUAAUGAUAAUAUCCCUAAGCCAAGUAUGGAAGGAGCUCGACCAAUGGAGGAAUAUUUGCAAGUAAGGCCCUCAGAGUUAGAAAUUAUAAAGUAGGAGUUCGAGAGACAAAGCUUGGAAUUCGAGAAGAGAGUAGCAAAGCUCGAGGAAGAAAAGAUGUACUUGAGUUUAGAAGUUGAUGUUCAAAAGAUGAAAGUCGAGAAAGAGAGGAAAUAAAAAAGAAAGAUGGAGGAAGAUCGAAAUGAUCUAAAAGAGCAUUACAAAAGGGCACAAGUAGCCUUGAGGGGGGCGAAAGUAGGAGGAUCUUCAGAUCAGUUACAAAAGGAGGUCCAAGAGGAAAUGGCUAGAGCUGAGUACUGGGAGAGGAAAUUCCAAGAGAUGUAGGUGCAGAAUUUGGCAUUAGAGGAAGAGAAUAAAGGAUUGAAGACCAAGGUAAUGGAACUUGAAAAAUCCCUGCGUUGGCACCAAAACCAUAAUUCUACGGUUGAGUUAAAGGAGCUAAGAAGCAAGGUCGAAGAUUUGGAGGAAGCGUGGCAUGACAGUGAACUCCGGGUUGAACAGCUCAAGACGCAAGAGGAUUAUCUGAGGGGAGAGCUACACCAGGCUAAAGAACAGGUUAGAAAAAUGGAUCAUGUCAUUGGUGAAGCCAUAGCCCAGAUUCGAGAGGUUGCUGAGUAUGUGCAAGACUUGGCAAUUCGAGCUGGCGUUUUGAGUCUGAUGUAUUCAUCAUCGUCAGAUGUAGGACGAGAGUUAGCCCUUUUAUUAGAUAGAGUUAAAGCUUUGGGCCUUAGGGCGAAAACGUAUUUGUAAUCCUCUUAUAUGUAAAGAUAUUAUUUUUCUAAAUAAAAUUUUCUAAAUGAAGUUGAACCAGAAUCGAUAUUCUUUUUGCAUUCAUGCAUUUGCAUCUCAUAACAUUUCAUCACAUCAUUUGCAUUCAAAGUUAUAGAAAGACAUUGAUUAAUUAAAGUUUACUUUCUAAAGGUAGAAAAGAAAACCUGGAAAUCACACAUCCUUACGGAACUCGUACUAAAACUAAGAACAUGGAUCAAAGGUUCGAGCAAUUACAAAAAGACAUGCAAGAUCAAAUGCAAGAGCAGUUGGCCAAAAUGCAGAAUGAAGUGAGGGAGCAGAUGCAAGAGGCUCAGAGAAACAUGAUGGCUGAAAUGGCUCAGCUGCUGAGAGCCAUUGAUAAAGGAAAAGCUCCCAUGGCAAUCAUUGAAGAAGAGAAUGAAGGUCCUCCUCCGGGUUUUACCCCGCCUCAUGUGCCCCUGCAAACCGAGACACCUCCUAGAAGGCCAUCUGUCACAGUGAGGCCUCAACAUGGGCCAGUGGAUGCUGGAAUCCCCAUAAAUUUCCCAUCUAGGUUGGGAAAUAAUUUAAGUGAUAGCUCGGUCAACCCUAUUACUCCUGAUCUGGAUUUAAUGGAGAAGGAAAGAAUGGUCACUGAAUCCUCGAAACAAUUGGAGGAUCGUUGCAGGUGGUUAGAGGAGAAGUUUAGGGUUUUAGAAGGCGCUGGCAAUCAUCAUGGGAUCGAUGCCAAAGACUUAAGUUUGGUUCCAGAUUUAGUGCUUCCUCAUAAAUUUAAGAUGCCAGAGUUCGAAAAGUAUAACGGGACGAGCUGCCCUGAAGCCUAUAUUACGAUGUUCUGUCGAAGGAUGACAGGGUAUGUUAACAAUGAUCAGCUGUUGAUCCACUGUUUCCAGGAUAGUCUGAUCGGAUCUACGGCCAAGUGGUAUAACCAGCUCAGCCGUGCCCAAAUUGGUUCGUGGAAGGACUUGGCUCAAGCUUUCAUGAAACAAUACGGUCACAUGACGGACAUAGCACCUGACAGAAUUACCCUACAAAACAUGGAAAAGAAGCUGAGUGAGAGCUUCAGACAGUAUGCACAACGGAGGAGGGAAAUAGCGAUGCAAGUCUAGCCACCCCUCUUGGAGAAGAAAACGACCAUGCUAUUUAUUAACACUCUAAAGGCCCCAUUCAUUAACCACAUGUUAGGAAGUGCUACUAAAAGCUUCUCGGACAUAGUAAUGUCCGGGGAGAUGAUAGAAAACACAGUAAGAUGUGGGAAGAUUGAAACAGGGGAAAAUGCCAAGAGAACGGCUCCAAGAAGGAAAGAAAAUGAGGUGAACAAUGCGAGCGCAUAUCAUAAGGGUUAUUCCAAGCCGGUCACAGUAAACCAGCUGAGGGCAGUGACUACUGGCCAUCAGGGCUCCGCGAGUCAAGAUUCCAACCCAAUGCCUAACACGGAAAGAGUCCAGUUCACACAAAUCCCAAUGACGUAUAGGGAGCUUUAUCAGAAUCUGUUCGAUGCGCAUGUAGUGUCUCCCUUUUUCCUAAAACCCAUGCAACCUCAAUUCCCAAAGUGGUAUGAUGCAAGCGUGCAAUACGAAUACCAUGCAGGAAUUGUGAGGCACACAAUUGAGAACUACACGGCCUUCAAAAAAUUAGUCGAAAGGUUUAUAAAGAUGGGCAUUGUGAAGUUCGAUGAUCCCACAAAACCUAAUGUGGCGGGGAAUCCAUUACCCAGUCAUUUAGACAAUAGGGUAAACGCGAUAAGCGAAAGUGGAGGAAGGAGAACUAAGAUAGACGUAUCGGAGGUAAAGACCCCGUUGAGAUGGGUUUGGAAGAAAAUGGUGGAAGAAGGUUUACUUAUACAAGGUUUAGAGGAGAAGCCUGAAGGAGGGAAGUACUAUUGUGAAUUCCAUGACGAGGAAGGGCAUGAGAUCCAAAAGUGUAAUGAAUUCAAGGCUCUGGUACAGAGAUUGAUAGAAAAUAAAGAGAUCGAAUUCUUUGAGUACACCGAGGUCCCGAAGGGAGAAGAUGUGUGCACGUUAGAGCAAGUGUAACACCCCGUACCCGAGACCGUUGCCGGAGUCGAACUCGAGGGGUUAACAGACUUAAUUCCCUUAUUUUUACAGUCCAUUUUAAAAAUUUCCAGACUAGCUGGCUAACUUCGUCACUGUCACCUUAAAGAUCAUAUCUUGAGUUCCAAAACUCGAAAAUCAGUUUCGUAAAUUUUAUCUGAAACUAGACUCAUAUAUCCAUCUACAAGUUUUUUUCUAGAAUUUUUGGUCUGGCCAAUUAGUACAGUUUAUUAGUUAAAGUCUCCCCUGUUACAGGGUUCGACUGCUCCGACCUUCAUGCAUUACGACUUAUAUAUCUCCCUGUACAGGGCCUCAAUACUUAUGCCAUUUGUUUCUAAUGAAACUAGACUCAAAAAUGAAUCUAUAAAUAUAUGACAUGACUUCUAAUUAUCUCUGUUUAAUUUAUAAUUAAUUUCCAAAGUCAGAUCAGGAGAUCCAGAAAUCGCUCUGGCCCUGUCCCACGAAAACUUAAAUAUCUCUUAAAAUACGACUCAUAUGACCGUUUUUUUUCUUCCAUAUGAAAGUAGAUUCAUCAAGGUUAGAUUAAAUAAUUUAUUCACUAUUUAAUUCCAUUCUUACUAUUUUUAGUGAUUUUUCAAAUCCACACCACUGCUGCUGUCAGCAUCUAUUUUUAAGGUAAACCUUACCUAUUUCAUGGUUUUCCAUGAAUCAACUAGAGUUUGUCAUACAUAGCAUCAAAAUAAUCAUAAUUAACCAUUCCCAAUGGCUAAUCGUUACCAAAAAUUUCCAUACCUCUCAAUGAACAACAUACAAGACGAUUAUAAUGCUAUGCUCAAAGUGUAUAUAAGCCAUUUUCGCAUGGCUAUCCAAAUUUAUACAAAACCAAAGGGUACAUGACCAACAACAAAAAGGGGUAGUCCUAUACAUGCCAUUUCAGAGUUCAAUCAAAAGUGUACCAAGGGGGCUUUGAUAGUGUGGACGACUUUGACUUCGACAAUCCCGAGUCCGAUAGCUGACGAACCAAAAUCUAUAAAACAGAGAAUCAAAGAAACGGAGUAAGCAUUUAAUGCUUAGUAAGUUUUGAAUAAUGAAAUUAGUUUCGGCUAAGGUAUAACAUUCAUAUGGCUAAAUGGAUAACUUCAUAUAUGUACAUUCUCAUGAACAUACUUACUUCACGCUUCAAUCAAUAUAUUCAUUCACAAGGUAUCAAACCUAACUAAAGGCUGAAAAUUCGUUAAUCAAUUGAACGAAUACUAUUUAAAACGAAUCGACUUUUCCGAUGCAUAUACGAAACAUACCUCAUCGUUUGGAUUUUAUGAGCGUAUUAAUUUGAAAUUUACAGCAAGAUCGCUCAUUCCCAAACCAAGUACCUUUGGAGUUUAGCCGGAUAUAGCUACUAGCUCAAAUGCCUUCGGGACUUAGCCCGGUUAUAGUAACUUGCACAAAUGCCUUCGGGACUUAGCCCGGUUAUAGUAACUCGCACAAAUGCCUUCGGGACUUAGCCCGGAUAUAGUAACUCGCACAAAUGCCUUCGGGACUUAGCCCGGAUAUAGUAACUCGCACAAAUGCCUUCGGGCUUAGCCCGGAAUUAGUCACUAGCACAAAUGCCUUCGGGACUUAGCCCGGUUAUCAAUCCGAAUAUCCAUGCACAUCUCAAUAAAUCAUGACACAUCAAUAUUUCAUUUUCAUAACUAGAAUUCAAACACAAUUCACUUAUCAAGCAUUAUCAUUUUCGGCUCAAUAGCUACAUACAAAGGGCAUGAUUUUGAUUUGCUUAUAACAUAAUCUAAUCGAAUCAUAAUCUAAGUUUCAUUACUCGAAAACUUACCUCGGAUGUUGUCGAACGAUUUCGACGGCUAUUCGAUCACUUUUUCCUUUCCCUUAUCCAGCUUAGGUCCUCUAAGCUCUUGAGCUAAUUCAAACAAAUUUAACUUAUUAAAGUCUCAUUAUGCUAGCUUAUGGCCGAAUAUGACAAUGAAUUUGAUAGGUCAUAUGGCCACCUUUAGCUCAAAUACAAAAUGGUCAUACGCAUUUUUAAUCAUAUUAAGCAAUUUAAUACCAUUAAUCUAACAUUUCCUCAUGUGCAACUUUAUGACCGAAUACACAUAUCAUUAACUCAAUAUCAAUUAACUAAGCACUUAAACAAAUUCUCUUUAACUAUACACACAUUCGGCAAUGACAAAGACAAUUUAGCAAACCUUAAAUUCAACUUAUAACAAUAUAUAUAUUCAAUAUUCAAAGCAUUUAACAUCACUUCACCAUAAUUUUUACAUCAUGGCCGAAUGUUCCUUUGAACCAUUUACCCUUGCAAGGCAUAAAUUUCACCAUCAAAACUAACAAGCUUAUAAUCCCAUGACCGAAACCUCUAACAACACCAAUUAAAAAUACUUCAUGGGUUUGAGGUAAAACCAAGAAAGAAACUCAUAAAUAUCGAGAUAUAAGCACUAACAUUGUUUAUCUAGAUUUAGCAUGAAACAACAUCCAUCACCCUUAUAAUUACCAUAGCCGAAAACCUUACUCAUUCCAAAAUCCAAAUCUCAACUUGGGUCACAAAAAUAACUUGAUAUCUCAUCAACACAACAUCAACACCAAGCAAGGAUGAUACAUCCAUGGCCGAGUGUCAUCUCCAUCACAUAGCAAGAUUUAGACCAUGGGCUAGGUAGAACUCAAGCUAACAACUAAAACAUGCAUGCAUCUCAUGGAACAUCAUCAAACAUACCUUAGUCUAGCAAACCACCAUAGCCGAUUUCCUCAAAGCUCUUUUUCUUUCCUUUUUCUUUCUUCUAUUCGGCCAAGAACAACAUGAGAGCUUUUUUUCUUUCUUUUUUUUUCAUCAUCAUUUACCUUCCCAUUAUUAUUUUAUUGCCCAUACUCCUUAUUUUAUUUUUCCUAACAUAAAACAUUAACCCAACAUGUUCAUGACAUGUUUUUUAGCCAUAACAUUUUGUCCACCCUCAUGCUCAUGGCCGGCCACUACUAAUUAGGGGGAAAAAUUGACAUGCAAGUCCACCCUUUUGAUUACAUGCACUAAUAGAUCCUUAUAAGUUAACCUAUCACAUUUCAAAAGUGUCACACAUAAGUCCUAUUGACUAAAUUCACAUACAAUUUACUAAAUCGAAGCUUAAAACUUUCACGCAUUCAUAUUCACAUAUUUUGGACAAUAAAUAUCAUAUUCAAAUAAUUUGGUGACUCGGUUUAGCGGUCCCGAAACCGCUUUUCGACUAGGGUCACUUUAGGGCUGUCACAGCAAGGGCCAACCAACAAUGUCUGAAUGGUCAAUCAUCCGGUCGUAUUUAUAUCCCGACCAAGAGUUAAUGAAGUCAGAGUACCAAUUGCGCCAAAGGUCAUAAUUCAAAAGCCUGUUGCUUUCCCUUAUAAGGAUAGCGAAAGGGUUCCUUGGAAUUACGACUGCAACGUAACGAUCCCGGGAGGGGAGAAUCUAGUUGGCACUUCGAAAAAAGGUCAAGACGAGAGUUUCUAUACACGCAGCGGAAGGCGUUAUACUCUGAACACAAAGGCAGAAUCAGCUAAAGGAAAAUCCGUGGUUGUUGAACAAGAAAAGGAAAAGGCGACCAGACCGGAAUCACCCGUCAAUGAGCCUGUAACUGAAAAAGAGGCUAAAGAAUUCUUAAAAUUUUUAAAACACAGCGAGUACAAUGUUGUGGAGCAAUUGCACAAACAGCCAGCUCGCAUAUCCGUACUAGCCUUGCUCUUGAGUUCAGAAACUCACCGAAGCGCAUUGAUGAAGGUUUUAAAUGAAACAUAUGUUGCGGAUGACAUCUCUGUCAACAAACUCGAUCGUCUGGUCAACAACAUCAGUGCGGAUAAUUUUAUUUUCUUUAAUGAUGAUGAAAUACCACCGGGAGGCAUGGGAUCUACAAAGGCUCUACACAUUACCACUCGCUGCAAAGGAUACACAUUGCCGGGGGUAUUGAUUGAUAAUGGAUCGGCAUUGAAUAUCAUGCCCUUGUCCACGUUAUAUAGGCUGCCAGUGGAUAACUCUCACAUAAAGACAUGUCAAAACGUCGUGAGAGCAUUCGACGGUACGGAAAGAAAAGUGGUGGGAAGGAUCGAGAUACCUCUUUUGAUUGGCCCAAAUACAUACGAGGUGGACUUCUUGGUAAUGGACAUCAAGCCAUCAUACAAUUGCCUGUUGGGGAGACCGUGGAUUCACUCGGCGGGGGCAGUGCCGUCAUCCCUACACCAAAAGUUAAAGUUGGUAACUGAGGGUAGGUUGGUAACGAUAAACGCGGAGGAAGAUAUUAUUGCAUCCGUCACCAAUGACACACCGUACGUGGGUGCAGACGAUGAGGCGAUAGAAUGUUCCUUUCGAUCGCUAGAAUUCAUCAAUGCUACAUUCAUUGUCGAAGGAAACAAGAUCCCAAUACCCAAAAUAUCCAAAGCUACGAGGAUGGGUCUGCGACUGACGGUCGGCAAAAGAGCCCUGCCAGGAAGAGGACUUGAAAGGUGCCUCCAAGGAAAGAGCGAGAUACUAAUGCUAAAAGAAAAACGAGACCACUUUGGCUUAGGAUUCAAGCCAGACGCGAAGCAAAAGAAGGAGCUGGAAAAAAGGCAAAAGAUGAGAAGAGCACGUCUGCGCGGUGAGGAGGUCAAAUGGGAACCAAUGACCUUCCCUCAUUUAUCCCGAACGUUCGUGUCUGGAGGAACUAUCUAUCCAAAAUAAGAGAUGACAAUGCAGAAAGUGGCAGAAGAGAUGUUGGGAAGUUGGAGCAUUAACGCCAUAUCUGAAGAAAAAGCUGAAGAAGGGGAUUUAUCUGGAAUUUGCCCUUACAUUUCUGGAAGUGUUUUGAACAAUUGGACCAUGGAGGAGAUCCCUGUAACUUUUAGAAUUAAUUCAGAGUAAUGUUCAAAACAAGCUUAUUGCUCUAUGCCUAGGGGCAAUAAGAACCCUUUUAUGAAAUAGGCAUAUGUCCAAAUAUCGUCAUUUCAAUAAAAAUGCAUUUUUGCAUAUCAUAUUGAGCAAAUAUUAUUUUCUACUUCAUUCAUAAUCAUACCACACAAAUCAAAUAUUCUUAGAUUCUUUUGUUCUUUGGAUUUCUUUCUUCAUCCAUAACAGGUCUCUAGAUAUCAAUGAUAUGAGCAACGUUGCCAAUGACCCAGAGAUUCCUUUCGAGCAAGAUUUGUGUAUGGAGGACACUGAAAAUUUUGAAGAUGAUCGAAAUUGUAGCCUAUCUCCUGAUUUGUUAAGGAUGGUAGAUCAAGAGGAGAAACAAAUCCUACCUCAUAAGGAGUCAGUGGAAAUUGUUAGCUUAGGAGAAGGAAAAGAGGUGAAAAUUGGAGCUAGUAUCGCUGCAGAAACAAAGCAAGACCUCAUCGAGUUACUUCGAGAAUUCAAGGAUGUUUUUGCAUGGUCAUAUCAAGACAUGCCCGGAUUGAGUACUGAUAUCGUGGUACAUCGACUCCCUGUAAAGGAAGAAUGCAGGCCAGUACAACAGAAACUCCGAAGGAUGAGACCCGAUGUUUUGUUAAAGAUAAAAGAAGAGGUCAAAAAGCAAUUCGACGCCCUUACAAGUGGUCAAGUACUCAGAAUGGGUAGCCAACAUAGUCCAGUUCCUAAGAAAGAUGGGAAGGUACGAAUGUGCGUAGACUAUCGGGACUUGAAUAAAGCCAGCCCCAAAGAUAAUUUUCCAUUGCCUCACAUUGAUACACUAGUGGACAACACGGCAGGUUACUCACUUUUCUCCUUCAUGGACGGCUUCUCGGGAUAUAACCAGAUAAAAAUACAUCCUGAAGACAUGGAAAAGACAACAUUUGUAACCAUGUGGGGAACGUUUUGUUAUAAAGUGAUGCCAUUCGGAUUAAAGAAUGCAGGAGCAACAUAUCAGAGAGCCAUGAUAACUUUGUUCCACGACAUGAUGCACAAGGAGAUCGAAGUUUACGUUGACGACAUGAUUGCAAAAUCCAAAAUCGAGAAGGAGCAUGUGCAAGUCCUGAGGAAACUAUUCUUAAGAUUAAGAAAGUUCCAACUAAAGCUCAAUCCCGUAAAGUGCACCUUCGGGGCCAGGUCAGGAAAAUUGUUGAGAUUUGUAGUUAGUGAGAGGGGAAUUGAGAUUGACCCAGAUAAAGUCAAGGCUAUACAAGAAUUACCCCCGCCACGCACUCAAAAAGAAGUUCGAGGUUUCCUAGGAAGAUUAAAUUACAUCGCCCGUUUUAUCUCACAACUAACGGAGAAAUGUGACCCUAUAUUUCGUCUCCUUAAGAAGCAUAAUCCGAGUGUUUGGGAUGAGGAGUGCGAGAAAAAUUUCGAUAAAGUCAAACAUUAUUUGUCCAAUACCCCAGUACUGAUGCCACUUUGCCCGGAUAAACAGCUAAUACUGUACUUGACAGUGUUUGAAAACUCCAUGGGAUGCGUGUUGGGCCAACUCGACGAGUCAGGAAGAAAAGAGAAAGCGAUAUACUAUUUCAGCAGGAAAUUCACCAAAUGUGAGACAAGAUAUUCGUAGAUCGAGAAGUUGUGUUGUGCUUUAAUUUAGACAACCCGAAGACUGAGACAAUACAUGUUGUACCACACAACUUGGCUUAUCUCGAAACUAGAUCCUUUAAAGUAUGUGAUGGAGUCAAAUGCUUUGAAAGGAAGAAUAGCUCGUUGGAAAAUUUUGCUUUCUGAGUUUGACAUAGUCUAUGUGAACCAAAAGGCUGUAAAGGGGAGUGCAAUAGCAGAUUUUCUGGCCAGUAGAGCUUUAGAAGAUUAUGAACCAUUGAGCUUUGACUUCCCGAAUGAAGACCUAAUGUACGUUGCGACCACGGAAGAAGACUCUCAAGGAGGUCACCUGUGGAAACUGAAUUUUGACGGAGCUUCAAAUGCUGUGGGUAACGGAAUCGGGGCAGUCUUGGUAUCCCCAAACGGAGAUCAUUAUCCUUUCACCAGUAAACUGGAUUUUGAUUGCACAAACAAUAUGGCCGAAUACGAAGCAUGUAUCAUGGGAAUUCGUGCAGCAAUAGAAUGUAAGAUUAAAGUGCUAGAGGUAUAUGGGGAUUCUGCAUUAGUGAUCUAUCAGCUUAAAGGGGAAUGGGAGACGAGAGACCCUAAGCUGAUCAAUUAUCGAAGGCUGGUUCUUAAGUUAAUCGAGGAGUUUGACGAUAUCACUUUCUGCUACCUUCCACGAGACGAAAACCAGAUGGCUGAUGCUUUGGCAACCUUAGCUUCUAUGAUCAAAGUGAAUAAACAAGAGGAUAUGAAGCCUAUCCAAAUGAGUAUUUAUGAGGCUCCGGCUCAUUGCUGCAACAUUGAAGAAGAAGAGAAAGAUGAUCAUCCUUGGUACCAAGAUAUUUUACGAUAUGUGAAGAGUCGUGAAUACCCAGACCAAGCGACUGAGAAUGAUAAAAGGACACCAAGAAGGCUGGCUAGUGACUAUGUCUUGGAUGGAGAGAUCCUAUACAAAAGAAGGAAGGAUCAGGUACUCUUAAGAUGUGUAGACGCUGUCGAGGUUAAGCAAAUCCUGGAAGAGGUUUAUGAGGGUGUCUGCGGAACACACGCUAAUGGUUUCACCAUGGCCAGACAUAUUAUGAGAUUCAGAUAUUAUUGGUCCACCAUGGAGGGAGAUUGCAUCAACUAUGCCAAGAAGUGCCAUAAAUGCCAAAUUUAUGGAGAUAAAAUGCAUGUACCUCCUUCACCCCUUCAUGUCAUGACUUCUCCAUGGCCUUUCUCCAUGUGGGGCAUGGAUGUCAUUGGGCCGAUCUCACCAAAGGCAUCUAAUGGACACCGAUUCAUCUUUGUGGUCAUAGAUUACUUCACCAAAUGGGUAGAGACUACUUCUUAUGCCAACUUCACAAAGUCGGCAGUUAGUAAGUUCUUAAAGAAAGAGAUUAUAUGUCGAUAUGGGAUGCCUGAAAGAAUCAUAUCUGACAAUGCAUUGAACUUGAACAACAGCACGAUAGCGGAAGUUUGUAGCCGUUUCAAGAUCAAACAUCAUAACUCGUCACUGUAUCGCCCAAAGAUGAAUGGUGCAGUCGAAGCAGCCAAUAAGAACAUCAAGAAGAUCAUAGGAAAAAUGACUGAAACCUAUAAAGAUUGGCACGAUAAAUUACCAUUUGCCCUAUACGCCUACCGGACGUCAGUCAGAACCUCUACCGGGGCAACAUCUUUUUCUUUAGUUUAUGGAAUGGAAGCGGUUUUGCCUAUUGAGAUUGAGAUUCCCUCUCUACGCGUACUUUCAGAACUAAAAUUAGAUGAAGCCGAAUGGAUCCAGUCUCGAUACGACCAGUUGAACUUGAUUGAAUAAAAGAGGCUAAAGGCUAUCCGUCAUGGUCAAAUGUAUCAAAAGAGAAUGAUGCGGGCUUAUAAUAAGAAGGUUCGCCCUAGAGAAUUCCAUGAAGGAGACCUCGUAUUGAAAAAGAUCCUCCCCAUACAAAAGGACUUCAGAGGGAAAUGGAUGCCGAAUUGGGAAGGACCUUAUGUGGUAAAGAAGGCUUUCUCUGGAGGGGCUCUGAUUUUGACCGAGAUGGAUGGAAAGAGCCUACCUAAUCCCGUUAAUUCAGAUUCAGUCAAGAGGUAUUUUACCUAAAAAAAAAAGGAGAGGCCAAGGUGAAAACCCAUGAAAGGGCGCUUUGAGACCAAAGGGGUUUGAAUUGAAAACCCAGGAAUGGGCAAUUCAAAUUUUGAUCGAACAUGGGGCAUACGGUAGUUUUGUCCUUCUCUGAAUUAACAGAAGGGAGGGAUGCUACAUAUUGGGGCAUCAACAAAGUACUCUUGGUCUUCCAAACACAUACCGAGUUAAAAAAGUCCUCGAGAAGUUUGUGCAACGAAGCUCAUACUGCGAUAUUUGGGGCACCUAUUUUUAUCUUAUUCAUUUUGUUUAGCAGAAUGUGCAACUUUGAUUAAUUCAUAGGUCCUCAUUUUAUAUCUUAACAAAUGUGCUAUCUUAAUUACUUUGUUCAUCUUAAGCUUCGCUCUCAAUAAAAUUCCAUCUUGCCUAUUGCGAUAAUCUUUUUCAAGCGUCUCUCAUUAAAUUGAUGAUUAAUGGACUAAUAAUAUUCAAAAAGAGUUCUGCAUAUUACUCUAAAAUUCUUCUAAAUGAUACAAGGAUCUGAAACGGGACUAAUUAGUUUGAAUUACCCUACAUCCAAAGGUUGGAAACGUUGGUGAAAUAACAGCCCAAAUUGUGAUUAUUUGUCGGGUUUUCUGCCAGAGAUACCGGUUGAAGAAAAGGUAGAGUAAUACGUCAUUGAUAAAAUCUCAGUGAACGACGAGUAAUAUCAGAUCAAGCAUGAAAAAAAAAAUAAUGACAUUUUCAUUCAUAUAUCAUUCAUAACACGUCUAGUUAGGAGCAUUUGAUUCAUUUCGAUCAUAGCAUCCUAAUUAUUUGGCAUAAGCAUGGUUACUUGGAACCGAUUCUAUAGACAAUACCCCUAGAGGAUGGUGUAGCAACAACGGCGAAUUCGCAGAUCUUGACCCCCUAAGCAGUAGGGAAAUAUAUCGAAGAUGAUGGGCUUUAACCCCCUAAGCAGUAGGGUAACAAGCCGAAUUUACAAGCCUUAACCCCCUAAGCAGUAGGGUAACAGGCUGAAGAUUUACAAAUCUUAACCCCCUAACCAGUAGGGAAACAGAUCGAAGACGAAGGGUCUUAAACCCCUAAGCAGUAGGGUAACAGACCGAAUUGUAGAUCUUAUCUCCCUAAGCAUUAGUGGAGAUAAUCGAAGACGAAGAACCUUAAACCCCUAAGCAGUAGGGCAACAGGUUAAAUUCACAGAUCUUAUCACCCUAAGUAGUAGGGAAACUGAUCGAAGACGAUGGGCCUUAACCUCUUGAGUAGUAGGGUAAUAGGCUAGAAAUCAAAUAUCUUCUUCCUGAAAUGGCGUUGGAGCGGCUAAAAGCCACAGCAGAUCUCCUUGAAGUUUCAGCGAACCUCUUCUUCCUGAAAUGGCGUUGGAGCGGCUAAAAGCCACAAUAGAUCUCCUUGAAGUUUCAGCGGAAGAAGAUCAAAACAAGUCUUAUCCCCCUGAAGUUGCAGAGGAGCAGACUGAAGAUAGCAGAUCUGACAUUCCUAUCCUUAUAGUGAAGCAGAUUGGAGAUUCCAGCAUCGUAUCCCUGUGUUUAUAGGGAACAAGUUGAAGAUGACAGAUUUGGAGUCUCUGUAUUAGACGGGGAGCAGAUCAAAGAUAGAAGAUAUCGCAUUCCUGAGUUGCAGUAAAGCAGAUUGCAGCUGUCAAGAGGCCAUUUAAAGAAGAUCAAGGAUCAAGAACUCAUGACUCGGCGAGCCCGGGCAAAAUUGGUCCUUCUAUAAUCUUUGCUCCAUUCUCGUUACACGACAAUGAGCAAAGAGGGGCAGCUGUAAGGCCUAAAUUUUAACCGGGCCCGAUAUAACAAAACCAAGUAACCAAAUAUAAGAGUCCAAUAGCCCAAAUCCAAUAACCCAAACCCAAUUUAUAAACCCUAAUAGCCCAAGCCCACUAUGUUAAAAAAAUUUUCAGUAGCCACCAAAGUUUUCAGCCGCAUGCCUUCAGCCACCAGCCUUCUCACGCCCGCCACCACCGCUCGGGGCGCCAAUCACCGGCCUUCCACGCGUCUGACACUCUCAUGACCUGCAAACAUUUGGAAAAGAGGAAAAAUGGCAGCAAGAAGCACAAGCAGUAGCAAAAAAUAAAACAACAAUAUUUUAAUAUAGGAAUCGGCUAUAAAGCCGAAAUGAAACUGAUUGUAACGGGGACGCACAUUUGAAUCAAAGAACAGAAAAAAAUUUAAUGGUUGAUCUCUGAUUUAUUUUUUUUUCUUUGUUUUCAUUUCGGUCUUUCAUCUCUUUAAAUUUCUUUUUAUUUAUACUACAAAUCUAAAAAACAAAAAGGGUAUAAAAUCAAAGAAGGGGACUUACCCGAAUCGAAGUGACCGUCGUCGGAGAUCGCUCCUCUGUCGUCGGAUUCGACCCGAAGAGGUCGUAGAGGGUUCCUUCUUUGGAUAUUCUUUGGUCGAGGAAGUUUUUGCUGUUGAGUUCGCCUUAAAUACGGGCUUGAAAGCCCGGUUUACACCCCAACCACCGCCUGUGGUGGCGCUGCGGUGAAGGUGGCGAUGAAGGUUCUAAGAACCCUAGCCGAAAGGAGCAGGGAGAGGGAGAGAGGGUAAAGGCCCUCUGUUUUCUUUUUUCUUUUUUAAAAUAGA
RNAcentral lists this long non-coding RNA (19306 nucleotides) under Gossypium barbadense (sea-island cotton). RNAcentral describes it as "long non-coding RNA (GBAR_LNC012276)". Lineage: Eukaryota; Viridiplantae; Streptophyta; Magnoliopsida; Malvales; Malvaceae. The record is from RNAcentral.